UUGAUUAAUUGUUCAGCUGUCUUAUAGCUUGGGGGUAGAAGACGUUAAGGAGCCUUUUGGACCUAGACUUGGCGCUCCGGUAUCGCUUGCCGUGCGGUAGCAGAGAGAACAGUCUAUGACUUGGGUGACUGGAGUCUUUGACUAUUUUUUGGGCCUUCCUCUGACACCGGCUAGUAUAUAGGUCCUAGGUGGCAAGAAGCUUGGCCCCAGUGAUGUAUUGGGCACUACCCUCUGUAGCGCGACAUCUAGUACUGAAAGCAUAAGCUACUGUACAUCUAGCUAGUACUGCAGUGCAUAAAAUGUUGUGAGUAGUUGACUCAAAGAGAGAGAAAGACAAUAGUUAACAGUUUUGAACAAAUGUAUUUCUUCAAAAAUUAAGGAGAAGCAAGAGAGAGAGAGAUUGUCAUAAUUUUUUUACUUUCAGUUUCACUUACUUAGCUAGUAGAUUCAGCUGGUUAGUUUAGUUACUCAAACACCCGGCUCAAACAGAGGGAUGCUAUGUUAGCUAGAUGGCAAUGAAUAUCCAACACAACACUGGAACUCUUCCAAGUCAAGGACCUGAGCCCUAAGACCAUGUCUCAGGACUACCUGGCCUGAUGACUCCUUGCUGUCCUCAGUCCACCUGGUCGUGCUGCUGCUCCAGUUUCAACUGUUCUGCCUGCAGCUAUGGAAUCCUGACCUGUUCAUCGGACGUGCUACCUUGUCCCGAACCUGCUUUUUUUGACUCUCUCUCUACCGCACCUGCUGUCUCUAACUCUGAAUGAUCGGCUAUGAAAAGCCAGCUGACAUUUACUCCUGAGGUGCUGACAUGUUUUGCACCCUCUACAACCACUGUGAUUACUAUGAACGUUUGAACAUCUAGGCCAUCUACUGUUAUAAUCUCCACCCGGCACAGCCAGAAGAGGACUGGCCACCCCUCAGAGCCUGGUUCCUCUCUAGGUUUCUUCCUAGGUUCCUGCCUUUCUAGGGAGUUUUUCCUAGCCACUGUGCUUCUACAUCUGCAUUGCUCUCUGUUUGGGGUUUUAGGCUGGGUUUCUGUCUAGCACUUUGUGACUUCCAGCUGAUGUAAAAAGGGCUCGAUAAGUACAUUUGAUUGGAUUGAUUGAUUGAUGUCAGACACGCACUAUCCUAAUGCUCUUUUUGACUGAUGACUGUACAUGAUAGGCCUAUCUGGCUUAUAUGAUUAUGAUGGUCAUAAUGGUUCUUGACAGUGUCAUAAAGUGUAUUUUCUUAGUCCGAGCAAAGUGACACAGGAUGUUCAUAAUGCUUCUUGACAUUGUCAUAAAGUGCAUUUUCUUAGUCCAAAUAAAAUGACACAGGAUGGUCAUAACGCUUUCUGACAAUGUCAUAAAGUGUAUUUUCUAUAGGUUAUUUAAAAUAUGUUGAAGAAAAAAAACAUGACUGUAAAGAAUUCAUUACAACAACAACAACAAAGGACCUGUCUAGCUGGCUAUCUAAAGCCAACUUCAUAAAGUGGCUUUGUGGCUAGUAUUACAGAGAAACAUCAAAACAUUUUGGCAUUAUUUAUUCAUCAAGAAGAAAUCAAUAGGCAGCGUAGCUUGAUCAAAUUCCUUUACAAACAUCACGGGCAGCUGGAACCAAAUCAAAUGCUGCCUUUGUUCCCUGGUGCACCGUGAAAGGAAACACUUACCAGGGAGAAUGUCCAGCCAGUGUACCCCCUCCGCAAAAUACAGCAGACAGAUAUUUUUAUAAAUAAUUCUGAUAAAAUGUGGCCUUUAAAUGAAGUUUAGGUAUUCAUUUAACAUCUGAUAUUUCUUUUAAACAGGACAAAUCACAGGGGGCACGUGCCCUUGUGAUGCCUCUGAGCGUGGCUAUCCAUAUUAUCGGGGAAAUGAUCAGGGAUGGUGGAAAUCCACAUAGUAUGACAGAAUACCUGAGACUUACCUUUAGAUUUAGUUUGGAGGAUGAGGAACAUAUGAAGCUUCACACAACAGCUCUUAGCUUUUAAGUCUAUGGACGAUAUACAGUAACUACAGUACAAUGCAGUCUGACUGUGUAGGUGUGUACACUGGCAAACGCAAAUAUCCCAAGCUGUUGGAACAUGUGAUUAUUUUAUAAGCAUGCAUUUACAUGAAUACAUUUUAGUAGUUUAGUAGUCAUCCCACUUUGCUGCCUGAAGGUAAAUUACAUAAACUGCUCAAGCAUGACCAGACCACCUGUACAUUCAAUAUAAUAUACACUCAUACAUUAC
This 2212-nucleotide long non-coding RNA is filed under the name Salmo salar (Atlantic salmon). RNAcentral's name for it is "lncRNA (ENSSSAG00000094367.1)". The record is from RNAcentral. Lineage: Eukaryota; Metazoa; Chordata; Actinopteri; Salmoniformes; Salmonidae.